UCAACAUCUCUUACCCUUUUUCCCUAUUUCAAACUCUCUACACUUGCUAGAAACCCACUUCGAAUAACCCUCCCUGUUUAAAUAAACACACACUCACCACAUCUACACCUCGCCGGAACUUCAAGCUUUUCACCGGAACAAACGGAGUCGCCACCACCACUCGUAAUCUCUUCAUCGCUACUUGUUGUCGCUUCUACUCGUCUGGAACCACUUCGACUGUUGUUACGUCGGAACCGACUCGGCUCGCUCGAUAUACAUUUUCCUUGUUUCGUUUGGUGUUGUUUAAAUCUUCUGUCAAUAUAAUUUUUGUUCCUUUCGUUUUGUUAAACCUUCCGCAACUCGCUGGAACUUUCAAGACUUCGUCGGAGAAUGGAGAAGACGACCGGAGACCCGCGGCUCUUCCCUUUCUGUUUCGGGUAAUCGAUUCUCGUUCGUUAUUUUGGAUUUUCUCCAUCUUCUACUCGUGCGUUAUU
RNAcentral lists this long non-coding RNA (473 nucleotides) under Helianthus annuus (common sunflower). Its description in RNAcentral is "sRNA HanXRQr2_Chr07g0280911". The record is from RNAcentral. Lineage: Eukaryota; Viridiplantae; Streptophyta; Magnoliopsida; Asterales; Asteraceae.